This is a non-coding RNA of Anolis sagrei ordinatus, 734 nucleotides long. The record is from RefSeq and is a predicted model, not a curated record. NCBI's taxonomy places the organism in Eukaryota, Metazoa, Chordata, Lepidosauria, Squamata, Anolidae.
GAUGUUGAAGGGAGGGAAGAAAGAAAAAGAAGGGAAAGGAAAAGAAAGGAGUAGAAAAGAAGGGGGAGAAAGAAAGGAAAGUGGAAAGAGGUAUUUGGAGAAGGAAGGAAAGAACGAGAAAGAAGGUUAGAAAAAGGAAAGGAAGGAAGAAGUGUUAAAGGGAGGGAAGAAAGAAAAAAAGGACUAGAACAGAAGGGGGAGAAAGAAAAAGGGAAGGAGGGGGGAGAGAAUGGAAAGUCGGGAGAGGUAUUUGGAGAAGGAAGGAAAGAACGAGAAAGAAGGAAAGAGAAAGGGAAGAUAAGGAAGAAAUGUUGAAGGGAGGGAAGAAAGAAAAAGAAGGGAAAGGAAAAGAAGGGAGUAGAACAGAAGGGGGAGAAAGAAAAAGGGAAGGAGGGGGAGAGAGAAAGAAAAGUGGGGAGAGGUAUUUGGAGAAGGAAGGAAAGAACGAGAAAGAGGGUUAGAGAAAGGAAAGGAAGGAAGAAGUGUUAAAGGGAGGGAAGAAAGAAAAAAAGGACUAGAACAGAAGGGGGAGAAAGAAAAAAGGAAGGAGGGGGGAGAGAAUGGAAAGUCGGGAGAGGUAUUUGGAGAAGGAAGGAAAGAAUGAGAAAGAAGAAGAGAAAGGGAAGAAAGAAAAAGGGAAGGGGGGAGAGAAAGAAAAGUGGGGAGAGGUAUUUGGAGAAGGAAAGAACGAGAAAGAAGGGAAAAGGAAGGGAAGGAAGAAGUGUUGAAGGGAG